This 324-nucleotide ribosomal RNA is filed under the name uncultured eukaryote. RNAcentral describes it as "partial 18S ribosomal RNA". It matches the Rfam family "Eukaryotic small subunit ribosomal RNA", at positions 1470 to 1796 of the family's 1831-position model. The record is from RNAcentral.
CCCUUAGAUGUUCUGGGCCGCACGCGCGCUACACUGAUGCAUUCAACGAGUUUCUUCCUGGUCCGAGAGGAAUGGGUAACCUUUUGAAAGUGCAUCGUGAUAGGGAUAGACUAUUGCAAUUAUUGGUCUUCAACGAGGAAUUCCUAGUAGACGUAGUUCAUCAGACUGCAUCGAUUACGUCCCUGCCCUUUGUACACACCGCCCGUCGCUCCUACCGAUUGAAUGCUCAGGUGAGCCAUUCGGACUUUCAUCAUGCUGGUUUCCAGUUUUGAUGAAGGAAAGUCUUGCGAACCUUAUCAUUUAGAGGAAGGAGAAGUCGAAACA